UUUCAAACUAACGGGCCCUAAACCUAAUACAGCUUUCAAUAAAGAUUCUUGCGCUUACCCUUGCCCUACUCCUGUAGUAAGAAGACUAGCUUUCCGUCCCGCCAUUUCUGAAAGUAUAGUAAAGGGACGACCGAUUCUUGAUAGCACUAGUCUCGUUGAAAGAGAGUUCCUCAUCGGAAUUAGGUAACAACAACUUCUUGAUCGGAAAAAAG
This 212-nucleotide unclassified non-coding RNA is filed under the name Hevea brasiliensis (rubber tree). The record is from RNAcentral. Lineage: Eukaryota; Viridiplantae; Streptophyta; Magnoliopsida; Malpighiales; Euphorbiaceae.